RNAcentral lists this ribosomal RNA (492 nucleotides) under uncultured bacterium. RNAcentral describes it as "partial 16S ribosomal RNA". It matches the Rfam family "Bacterial small subunit ribosomal RNA", at positions 29 to 507 of the family's 1533-position model. The record is from RNAcentral.
AGUGAACGCUGGCGGCAUGCCUAACACAUGCAAGUCGAACGGCAGCACAGUAAGAGCUUGCUCUUACGGGUGGCGAGUCGCGGGCGUGAGAGGUAUACAUCGGAAUCUACUUUUUCGUGGGAGAUCACGUAGGGAGACUUACUCUAAUACCGCAUACCCCGUACGGGUGAGAGCGGGGGAUCUUCGCACCUUGCGCGAUUGGAUGAGCCGAUGUCGGAUUAGCUAGUUGGCGGGGUAAAGGCCCACCAGGGCGACGAUCCGUAGCUGGUCUGAGAGGAUGGUCGGCCACACUGGAACUGAGACACGGUCCAGACUCCUACGGGAGGCAGCAGUGGGGAAUAUUGGACAAUGGGCGCAAGCCUGAUCCAGCCAUGCCGCGUGGGUGAAGAAGGCCUUCGGGUUGUAAAGCCCUUUUGUUGGGAAAGAAAAGCAGCAGGUUAAUACCCCGCGGUUCUGACGGUACCGGAAGAAUAAGCACCGGCUAACUACGUG